Molecule: long non-coding RNA, 1023 nt
Filed under: Linum usitatissimum (flax)
Lineage: Eukaryota; Viridiplantae; Streptophyta; Magnoliopsida; Malpighiales; Linaceae
Description: long non-coding RNA (LUSI_LNC002184)
Source: RNAcentral
GUAUUUGCCUCUUGAUGAUACUUUCUGCUUCACACGACCCUGUAAAGAGAGCAAUUUAAUUGGUCUUGUACAAGAUCACUGUAUCAAUACAUUGCAGAUACCGAUUUGUUACGUAUCUUACAACUAGGACUCGACCAUUUCAGACUGGCAUGCCUUACUUAGAUGAUGUUAGCUGGUUAAUCUGAAUUUGGCAGUCAGACGAAGGUGGGGAUAUCAUACAGAAACGUAUCCACCGAUGAUCUCAUGCUCACUGAAGUUUUCCUAAGUAGAAUACAAGAUAGGGUUUCCUGGAAUUCUUUGUCCGGAGAAGGAGCAAUCAGGGAUCAAAUACAAUAACUGAAAGCCAUCAAUUCUGAACCUGGCAUCAGAAUAGUUUACUUCAUUCAUUAUGAAUCUCAGUUAACCAAAUUCCCCACAGGCAAACAGAAGAAAGAUCGCCUAAACCUAAUCUGAAGUGAUGUGCUUCAUCUGUAUCAGCCAUGAAGAAUCUACAACUAAAGCUCAACAUACGAUGAACACCGAGUUUCGAAUCCCUAGUAACUGUUGAAAACUCCUCCACUAAAACUAAAAGAGAAAGAAGGUACAUAAAUUACAUCAUACUAAGCUAAGCAAUCUGGAGCUCAUCAACCACCUCUCUGAUCAAUCACAAUCGAAGAACAGCAUGAUUUUCGCCAUAUCAUCCAGGUUUAGCUAGCUAGAUUCCACAGUUAAUUGGUUAAUACCCUUUUUUGUUAAAGUCCCUAACUUUACUUACUACACAGUCACACAUUAAGCCAGAUCCUUCUCAGACUUCAAUUUCACAUAAGAAUGAAUCAAUUAACCCGUACGCCAUUCAAAUGCAACAGGUAGUUGAUGCUCUUCAUGAAAUAACCUCAAUUCCAAGACGAUACAUAAAUACGAUACUAACCUGGGGAAUAGGCUGUUGAAUCACAGAUUCAACAGCAAACACCAUAGCUUGAACGAAAUCAUCACCUCCAGUUCCAAUGGCAGUAAACCCUCUAACCGUAGGAUACGUAUUAACCU